CUCUUUUAUUUCUUUGUUGUCUCUUUUUGUUCCAUUUAUCGUGGACUGAAAUUAGGUCUCUUCCCUUCACCAGAAAGAAAUAAAGAAAGAAAGUCCAAUCCAUUGGGGUACGAAGAUGUCUCUCUCUGAUCCCAUGAGCAUGGUUGUUACAGACCCAUGCUACUUGUGUCAAUUCGAGCAGGUGGGGGUAAAAAGUGUACUUGUGAUUUCAGGAUGGCAGUCCUUAAGUUAAUUGUACUACGCUCUAUAUCCGUCUGAGGCCAUGAGCAUAGUUACUGGUUCCUCAUGCCACAUGAUUGUGACCAUCAAUGUGGGUUUACAAAUGAGGGAAAUGGUUCGGAAGCAAGAUGGUCAAAAGAAGACCAAUGUAGUAAGGUCUUCACCUACAACGGCUUGAGUUGAUGAAGUGAAACAUCAAGAUAUAGGCAAACCUUCAAAAGGAAGACCAUUUGUCAUAGAUUUCUGUUUGAUCGGACACCAACAGCUACACGAAUAAAGAGUCGUCGCCACACAUUUGGACCCAACGGUUCUAGCACGUCUGCAAUUGAUAAUCACCCAUUACAUGGCAUUCAAACUUGAUGAACAAUUAAUAUAUACUUUCUUAGAUUAGGGCAUAAAGUUUUGUUCAGCAUCAAACAUCUAUUGCCUGUUCUUUUCUUGUCUAAAUCUUUAUUUUGUUGAGAUAAGCAUAUGAUUAUUUCAUGAAUGCAUACAA
Long non-coding RNA from Cornus florida, 715 nucleotides. RefSeq lists it as uncharacterized. The transcript is spliced from 3 exons. The record is from RefSeq and is a predicted model, not a curated record. NCBI's taxonomy places the organism in Eukaryota, Viridiplantae, Streptophyta, Magnoliopsida, Cornales, Cornaceae.